RNAcentral lists this ribosomal RNA (454 nucleotides) under uncultured bacterium. RNAcentral's name for it is "partial 16S ribosomal RNA". It matches the Rfam family "Bacterial small subunit ribosomal RNA", at positions 28 to 507 of the family's 1533-position model. The record is from RNAcentral.
GAUGAACGCUGACAGAAUGCUUAACACAUGCAAGUCAACUUGAACUUCGGUUUGGGUGGCGGACGGGUGAGUAACGCGUACAGAACUUGCCUCACAGAUAGGGACAACAUUUGGAAACGAAUGCUAAUACCUGAUAUUAUGAUUAUAUGGCAUCGUAUAAUUAUGAAAGCUAUAUGCGCUGUGAGAGAGCUUUGCGUCCCAUUAGCUAGUUGGAGAGGUAACGGCUCACCAAGGCGAUGAUGGGUAGCCGGCCUGAGAGGGUGAUCGGCCACAAGGGGACUGAGACACGGCCCUUACUCCUACGGGAGGCAGCAGUGGGGAAUAUUGGACAAUGGACCAAGAGUCUGAUCCAGCAAUUCUGUGUGCACGAUGAAGUUUUUCGGAAUGUAAAGUGCUUUCAGUUGGGAAGAAAAAAAUGACGGCACCAACAGAAGAAGUGACGGCUAAAUACGUG